GACGAACGCUGGCGGCGUGCCUAAUACAUGCAAGUUGAGCACUGAAGGUUGGUACUUGUACCAACUGGAUGAGCAGCGAACGGGUGAGUAACGCAUGGGGAAUCUGCCUUUGAGCGGGGGACAACAUUUGGAAACGAAUGCUAAUACCGCAUAAAAACUUUAAACACAAGUUUUAAGUUUGAAAGAUGCAAUUGCAUCACUCAAAGAUGAUCCCGCGUUGUAUUAGCUAGUUGGUGAGGUAAAGGCUCACCAAGGCGAUGAUACAUAGCCGACCUGAGAGGGUGAUCGGCCACAUUGGGACUGAGACACGGCCCAAACUCCUACGGGAGGCAGCAGUAGGGAAUCUUCGGCAAUGGACGAAAGUCUGACCGAGCAACGCCGCGGGAGUGAAGAAGGUUUUCGGAUCGUAAAACUCUGUUGGUAGAGAAGAACGUUGGUGAGAGUGGAAAGCUCAUCAAGUGACGGUAACUACCCAGAAAGGGACGGCUAACUACGUG
RNAcentral lists this ribosomal RNA (497 nucleotides) under uncultured bacterium. RNAcentral describes it as "partial 16S ribosomal RNA". It matches the Rfam family "Bacterial small subunit ribosomal RNA", at positions 28 to 507 of the family's 1533-position model. The record is from RNAcentral.